RNAcentral lists this ribosomal RNA (330 nucleotides) under Coenobita clypeatus. RNAcentral describes it as "partial 12S ribosomal RNA". It matches the Rfam family "Microsporidia small subunit ribosomal RNA", at positions 767 to 1204 of the family's 1311-position model. Lineage: Eukaryota; Metazoa; Arthropoda; Malacostraca; Decapoda; Coenobitidae. The record is from RNAcentral.
GAGCUCUAAAUUCAAAGAAUUUGGCGGUAUUUUAGUCUGAUUAGGGGAACCUGUCUUUUAAACGAUAAACCACGAAGAAUCUUACCUACUUUACUAUAGUUUGUAUACCGUCAUUUAGAUAACUUUUACAGAACAAGUUAUUGAAAUAAUACCAUUAAGAUAUUAGAUCAAGGUGCAGCAUAUAUUUAGGAUAAGAUGGGUUACAAUAAAAUUUAUAUUACCACGGAUAAGUUUCAGAAUAAAAACUUUAAAGGAGGACUUAAAAGUAAGGCUAAUUUAAUAAGAUAGCCUGAUUUUAGCUCUAAAAUGUGUACAUAUCGUCCGUCGCUA